Molecule: ribosomal RNA, 544 nt
Filed under: Shigella sonnei
Lineage: Bacteria; Pseudomonadati; Pseudomonadota; Gammaproteobacteria; Enterobacterales; Enterobacteriaceae
Description: partial 23S ribosomal RNA
Rfam family: Bacterial large subunit ribosomal RNA
Source: RNAcentral
GGAGCGUUCUGUAAGCCUGCGAAGGUGUGCUGUGAGGCAUGCUGGAGGUAUCAGAAGUGCGAAUGCUGACAUAAGUAACGAUAAAGCGGGUGAAAAGCCCGCUCGCCGGAAGACCAAGGGUUCCUGUCCAACGUUAAUCGGGGCAGGGUGAGUCGACCCCUAAGGCGAGGCCGAAAGGCGUAGUCGAUGGGAAACAGGUUAAUAUUCCUGUACUUGGUGUUACUGCGAAGGGGGGACGGAGAAGGCUAUGUUGGCCGGGCGACGGUUGUCCCGGUUUAAGCGUGUAGGCUGGUUUUCCAGGCAAAUCCGGAAAAUCAAGGCUGAGGCGUGAUGACGAGGCACUACGGUGCUGAAGCAACAAAUGCCCUGCUUCCAGGAAAAGCCUCUAAGCAUCAGGUAACAUCAAAUCGUACCCCAAACCGACACAGGUGGUCAGGUAGAGAAUACCAAGGCGCUUGAGAGAACUCGGGUGAAGGAACUAGGCAAAAUGGUGCCGUAACUUCGGGAGAAGGCACGCUGAUAUGUAGGUGAAGUCCCUUGCGGA